Molecule: ribosomal RNA, 470 nt
Filed under: Veillonella parvula
Lineage: Bacteria; Bacillati; Bacillota; Negativicutes; Veillonellales; Veillonellaceae
Description: bacterial SSU rRNA
Rfam family: Bacterial small subunit ribosomal RNA
Source: RNAcentral
GACGAACGCUGGCGGCGUGCUUAACACAUGCAAGUCGAACGAAGAGCGAUGGAAGCUUGCUUCUAUCAAUCUUAGUGGCGAACGGGUGAGUAACGCGUAAUCAACCUGCCCUUCAGAGGGGGACAACAGUUGGAAACGACUGCUAAUACCGCAUACGAUCUAAUCUCGGCAUCGAGGAUAGAUGAAAGGUGGCCUCUACAUGUAAGCUAUCACUGAAGGAGGGGAUUGCGUCUGAUUAGCUAGUUGGAGGGGUAACGGCCCACCAAGGCGAUGAUCAGUAGCCGGUCUGAGAGGAUGAACGGCCACAUUGGGACUGAGACACGGCCCAGACUCCUACGGGAGGCAGCAGUGGGGAAUCUUCCGCAAUGGACGAAAGUCUGACGGAGCAACGCCGCGUGAGUGAUGACGGCCUUCGGGUUGUAAAGCUCUGUUAAUCGGGACGAAAGGCCUUCUUGCGAAUAGUGAGAAGG